This 627-nucleotide long non-coding RNA is filed under the name Gallus gallus (chicken). The record is from RNAcentral. Lineage: Eukaryota; Metazoa; Chordata; Aves; Galliformes; Phasianidae.
ACCGCGGGCGCAGCGUCCAGGUUUAUGGGGAGCCGCAAGCUCGGCCCCUCCCCGUUCGCUCAGCGACUCCGGGAAAAAGCUGGGAAAACCCAAAGCGUGCGGGGUCCUAAGCGGGGCUGCCCGCCUCUCCACGGCACGGCCCCUGCGGUGCGAUGCUCAGCCCCGACCCGCAGCCCCCAGCACCCAUCCGGCCCCAUGCGGGUAGCGAGAGGGCGAAGGAGAGCUGCAGAAACUUGUUGGGACGUCUCCAGUGUUAAGCAGGCCACUGCAGGGCGUGCUGAUAAUUGUGGUCUGCAUCCAUGAGGGAUCAGGACAGCACUGUGCAUGGCACGCACCUCUCUCCUCAACCUUCCUUACGGCAGGACUUGGCACAGGACAGGGGGCUUGGAAGCACACACUGCUCACAGCACACAGCAGAUCCAGGAGCUGUAAAUCUGCCACCUGGCUGGUGGCUUUAUUGCUUUGGAUGUUGCUGGUGUCAAAGAAAUUUGGUGCAGGAGCCAGCUGGAGCACAGUCAGUUUUAUAUUUAAUCUUCGCUAUAAACGCAAAUAAAGGUUCUGUAUUUUGAGUGAGUGACAGACACACCAUGGUCAUUAUUAAACCUUCUAAAAAUAAACCUCUGCCGA